Chrysemys picta bellii (western painted turtle) is the source of this 4081-nucleotide RNA transcript. It is a transcript of the gene named general transcription factor IIi, with no coding region annotated. The record is from RefSeq and is a predicted model, not a curated record. NCBI's taxonomy places the organism in Eukaryota, Metazoa, Chordata, Testudines, Emydidae.
CCGCGGCGCCUGCGCAAAUGGCUUUCCUCGAACAAAAAACUGCCCCCUCCCCCCCCUUUACAUCGGUCCUGGGUUCAGGGUGAACGACUGUGUGAGGGGACGAGGCCCGGCCGGCGCCCCAGUGGACGCGGUCACCGAGCCCCCGCCGGGAGCCCGACGAGUCGCGAAGAGGCUGCGGGGACGGGCCGAGCCGAGCCGGGAAGCGCCUGCUGUGAGCUGGGAUUAGCUUGGCCUCCCCUCGCCCCGAGGCGGCGGCGGCUCCUCGCCGAGACUCCCCAGGACCCGGGCUGCCCUGAUCCCGGCGGCGGCCAGCCAGGAUAAUGGCCCAAGCAGCAACACCAGCAUUGUCAGUCCAUGAUGAGGACUCCUCUGAAAGCAGAAUGGUGGUUACAUUCCUCAUGUCCGCACUUGAGUCAAUGUGUAAAGAACUUGCGAAGUCCAAGGCAGAAGUCGCCUGUAUUGCUGUGUACGAAACAGAUGUGUUUGUAGUUGGAACUGAGAGGGGAAGAGCUUUUGUCAAUACAAGGAAAGAUUUUCAGAAGGAUUUUGUUAAAUACUGUGUCUCUGAAGAGGAAAAGGCAGCUGAACUGCAGAAAACAAAGACUACGUCACUUGUAAACAGGCUGACAGUGGAUAUUGUAGAAAUGGAAGCUCUCCGAAAGUCUGUAGAGGAUUUCUUCUGCUUUUGUUAUGGUAAAGCUUUAGGGAAGUCAACGGUAGUCCCUGUGCCAUAUGACAAGAUUCAAAGGGACCAGUCUGCAGUGGUAGUGCAGGGCCUUCCUGAAGGACUUGCAUUUAAACAUCCAGCAAAUUAUGAUGUGACAACACUGAAAUGGAUUUUGGAAAACAAAUCGGGGAUCUCAUUUGUGAUCAAAAGGCCUUUCCUAGAGCCAAAGAAACACCUAGGAGCUCAUGUGACUGUUACAGAUUCUACACGCACAGUUACACCACCAAGUGGAAGUGGCCCUCCUGUCCAAGUAAAAACAGAGCCAAAUGAGGAUUCUGGAAUUUCACUAGAGAUGGCAACAGUAACAGUAAAAGAGGAAUCGGAGGAUCCUGACUACUAUCAGUAUAAUAUUCCAGCAGGCCCUUCAGAAACUUCAGAAAUUGAUGAAAAAAUUGCUCUUGCAAAGAAGUACACAGGAAGCCACCAGGGUUCCGAUUGCAGUGAAGGAACAGAUGUGGAAGUACCAGUAGAAGAUUCUUCUCAGCAUGCCCCUUCUGAAACAAGUGAGGACCCUGAAGUUGAGGUUACCAUUGAAGAUGAUGAGGACUACUUACCACCCAACAAGAGACCGAAGAACACUGAGUCAGCAAAUGAGGCUGCCAAUGCUGGGAGAAGAAAAGUGAGAGAAUUCAAUUUUGAGAAAUGGAAUGCCCGAAUUACAGACUUGAGAAAGCAGGUUGAAGAAUUAUUUGAAAGAAAAUAUGCUCAAGCUAUAAAAGCAAAAGGUCCAGUGUCUAUCCCGUACCCGCUUUUCCAGUCGCAUGUAGAAGACUUGUAUGUGGAAGGACUUCCAGAAGGAAUUCCCUUCAGGAGGCCAUCUACCUAUGGGAUCCCACGCCUUGAGAGGAUACUGCUGGCCAAGGAGCGGAUACGGUUUGUGAUUAAGAAACAUGAGCUUUUGAAUUCAACACGAGAAGAUGCACCGCUGGACAAACCAGCUGCAGGAGUGAAAGAAGAGUGGUAUGCCCGAAUCACCAAAUUAAGGAAGAUGGUAGAUCAACUUUUCUGUAAAAAAUUUGCUGAGGCCCUAGGGAGCACUGAGCCGAAGGCUGUCCCAUACCAGAAAUUUGAGGCACACCCCAGUGAUCUCUAUGUGGAGGGUCUGCCAGAGAACAUUCCAUUUAGGAGUCCAUCCUGGUAUGGAAUCCCUCGGCUGGAAAAGAUUAUUCAAGUGGGCAACAGAAUAAAAUUUGUAAUCAAAAGGCCAGAACUACUAACUCUCAGUCCGACAGAAGUUACUCAACCAAGAUCUAAUACACCAGUCAAAGAAGAUUGGAAUGUCAGAAUCACAAAACUAAGGAAGCAAGUGGAAGAGAUAUUUAAUCUGAAAUUUGCCCAAGCCCUGGGGCUUUCAGAGGCAGUGAAGGUUCCCUACCCUGUGUUUGAAUCGAACCCUGAGUACUUGUAUGUGGAAGGCUUGCCAGAAGGAAUCCCCUUCCGGAGUCCCACGUGGUUUGGAAUUCCACGCCUUGAAAGAAUUGUCCGUGGAAGUGGCAAAAUCAAAUUUAUUGUUAAAAAGCCAGAGCUGGUCACUUCUUAUUUGCCUGCUGGAUUGGCUAGUAAAGUAAACACUAAAGCAUUGAGUCCAAAGAGUUCAAAGAGAGCAAGAAGUCCUGCAAGCAAUUCAAAGGUUCCAGAGAUUGAGGUGACUGUUGAAGAAGGUCCUAAUAAACCACAAACAACAGAUGUUCGAACUAAUUCUCAAACCAAUGGAUCCAAUAUGGGCUUCAAGCCACGAGGAAGAGAGUUUUCUUUUGAGGCUUGGAAUGCCAAAAUUACUGACCUAAAACAAAAAGUUGAAAAUCUUUUUAAUGAAAAAUGUGGGGAAGCUCUGGGGCUUAAAGAUCCUGUCAAGGUCCCAUUUGCGUUAUUUGAAUCCUACCCAGAGGAUUUCUACGUGGAAGGACUACCUGAAGGGGUGCCAUUCCGCCGACCAUCUACUUUUGGCAUUCCAAGAUUGGAGAAGAUCCUGCGAAACAAAUCUAAGAUAAAAUUUAUCAUAAAAAAGCCUGAGAUGUUUGAGGCAGCGAUUAAGGAAAGCUCUGCUAAAAGUCCCCAGAGAAAAACCAGUUCAUCCAAUACAUCAAAUACAACAAGCACCACAACAAAGCCAGUGGUGAACACAGCCGCAGGGGUUGAAGAUCUUAACAUCAUUCAAGUGACUAUACCAGAUGAUGAAAGUGAAAGAUUAUCAAAAGUAGAAAAGGCUCGACAACUGAGAGAACAAGUAAAUGACCUCUUCAGCAGGAAGUUUGGUGAAGCAAUCGGUAUGAAUUUCCCUGUGAAAGUCCCAUACAGAAAAAUCACCAUAAACCCUGGCUGUGUGGUGGUGGAUGGAAUGCCUCCUGGAGUGGCAUUUAAAGCUCCCAGUUAUCUGGAAAUCAGCUCCAUGAGAAGGAUUUUGGAAUCAGCAGAGUUUAUCAAAUUUACUGUCAUUCGGCCAUUUCCAGGACUUGUGAUUAACAACCAGUUGAUGGAGAAAACUGAAUCAGAAACACCAGCCAAGGCACCGGCUCCGGCUCCGGCUCCGGCUCCAGCUCCGGCACCGGCACCAGUAGUACAAGAGCCAGCUGAACCAAGCCAAAUAGAAGUAUCUGUAGAAGAUGUAGCAGAAACAGAAGAAAGUUCUCAAAUAAAACAGGAGCCAGAUCCAACGUGGUAGACCUUAUCAAUAUUAGGAAAAAUCUCAGUUCAAGUUUUGGGACAAAGAUUCAGGGAAAAUGGACUUAACCUAACAGAUGUAAAAAGGUCUGUUGUAACUUCUGUUAACCAAAUUCUACAGACCUCAUUUGGUUUAAAUUCCCAUUGAAGCUUGUGGGAGUUUUGUCUGAGUCAGAAGCAUGCAGUCCGGAGAAGAGCUUGCUGGGACUGUCCUGAGCUGUGUAAUAUAAUUGUAUAAGAGAAGUACCUUCUAUACAAACCCUUUUUGUACUUUUAGAUAGAAAUGUCUACUUUUUCAGCAGUUCUGUGAAUUGACUUAAAGCAAAGAGUGACUGUAGAUUUGGAAAGGUUGAUUAUAUAUUAUAAGGAUUAAAUUUGAGGCAGCAAUGCUGAAAAAAUGACAGGGAUUAAUUCAGAUUUUAAAAAAAUCAACAGGAAUUUAGACGCCGUCUACAUUUCCCAGUAAAGUAGAAUUGUACUGUGCCUGGAUGCAUCUCAGCUUUUGCGAUGAAGAAAAAUACCUACAGUAGUUCAUUAAUUUUCUGUUUUUGGAAAAAAAAAAUAAUGAUUUUUGGUUCUUUCUCCUUAAUGGCUGAUUGGACAAUACUAUCUGUAUAUUUGAACUAAUUUUUCCUAUGAUAUCUAUCUCAAUUCAUAUGUUUUUCAUAAAUAAAGAUGAACUCGUUCACCUGA